GACGAACGCUGGCGGCGUGCUUAACACACGCAAGUCGAGCGGUAAGGCCCUUUCGGGGGUACACGAGCGGCGAACGGGUGAGUAACACGUGGGUGACCUGCCCUCAGCUCUGGGAUAAGCCUGGGAAACUGGGUCUAAUACUGGAUAUGACUCCACGGUGCAUGUCGUGGGGUGGAAAGCCUUGUGCGGCUGAGGAUGGGCCCGCGGCCUAUCAGCUUGUUGGUGGGGUGAUGGCCUACCAAGGCGACGACGGGUAGCCGGCCUGAGAGGGCGACCGGCCACACUGGGACUGAGACACGGCCCAGACUCCUACGGGAGGCAGCAGUGGGGAAUCUUGCGCAAUGGGCGAAAGCCUGACGCAGCGACGCCGCGUGAGGGAUGACGGCCU
RNAcentral lists this ribosomal RNA (388 nucleotides) under uncultured bacterium. RNAcentral describes it as "bacterial SSU rRNA". It matches the Rfam family "Bacterial small subunit ribosomal RNA", at positions 28 to 417 of the family's 1533-position model. The record is from RNAcentral.